This is a long non-coding RNA of Pteropus alecto (black flying fox), 565 nucleotides long. RefSeq lists it as uncharacterized. The record is from RefSeq and is a predicted model, not a curated record. Lineage: Eukaryota; Metazoa; Chordata; Mammalia; Chiroptera; Pteropodidae. The transcript has 3 exons.
GGUUAUCAAGAUCAACUGUCGUGGUAUCACAGUGCUUGUGUUUGAGCAGCCCUUAUUUUACUUAAUAAUGGCCCCAAAAUGUAAGAGAAGUGAUGCUGGCAAUUUGGAUAUCCCAAAGAGAAGCUGAAAAGUGCUUCCUUGAAGUGAAAAAUUGAAGUCUGAGAUGAGGGUGCCAGCACAGUCGAGAGUCUUCUGGAUUGCAGACAUUGUAUCCUCACUUGGCGGAAGAGUGGCUUUUAAAAGGGGGCGAAGGAACUAUUCCAGAUUAAGAGACUGUGAAGACAUAAGAACCAUGGAGCACAUGGAUGCACUUUGGAUCUAGAAUUGGACAAGUCAUUUUCUACACACCUGGGCAAACUUGAUUAUGCACUAGAUACUAGAGGCUUUCCAAGAGUGGAUGACCAUUUAUUAGGUGUGUAAUUACAUUGAGAUAAUGUAAGAAAUGUUUUAAAUGCCAUGUUUUCUAGGUGUAAAAGGGUGAAAUUUUAGGAGAUCUGGGGGUGAUCAUUUUGUAAGUCGUAUAAAUCCCUAAUCACUAUGUUGUACACCUGAAACUAAUGUAAUA